CCUACGGGUGGCAGCAGUGAGGAAUAUUGGUCAAUGGGCGCGAGCCUGAACCAGCCAAGUAGCGUGAGGGAUGAAGGCCCUCCGGGUUGUAAACUUCUUUUAUAAAGGAGUAAAGUGAGGCACGUGUGCCUUUUUGUAUGUACUUUAUGUAUAAGGAACGGCUAACUCCAUGCCAGCAGCCGCGGUAAUACGGAGGAUCCGAGCGUUGUCCGGAUUGAUUGGGUUUAAAGGGAGCGUAGACGGGUUGUUAAGUCAGUUGUGAAAGUUGGGGGCUCAACCGUAAAAGUGCAAUUGAGACUGGCAGGCUUGAGUGCAGGAGAGGUAGGCGGAAUUCGUGGUGUAGCGGUGAAAUGCGUAGAUAUCAGGAAGAACUCCGGUGGCGAAGGCAGCUUACUAAACUGCAACUGACAUUGAGGCUCGAAAGUGUGGGUAGCAAACAGGAUUAGAUACCCCUGUAGUC
This 460-nucleotide ribosomal RNA is filed under the name uncultured bacterium. RNAcentral's name for it is "partial 16S ribosomal RNA". It matches the Rfam family "Bacterial small subunit ribosomal RNA", at positions 338 to 795 of the family's 1533-position model. The record is from RNAcentral.